Long non-coding RNA from Anas platyrhynchos (mallard), 5685 nucleotides. RefSeq lists it as uncharacterized. The record is from RefSeq and is a predicted model, not a curated record. Lineage: Eukaryota; Metazoa; Chordata; Aves; Anseriformes; Anatidae.
GACUCAGAGCUGAGCUAUUAAGCCAUAACACAUGGCUGACAUCUGGAACUCACUUGCAAGCUUUUCUCAUUCGAAUAUUGGUAGCCACAGCUCUCUACUCUCCUUCUCUCCAAGACGUAGCCACGCUUUCUCUAUCCACACCUCAUGGAACAGAGGAAGGAGAUGUUGGAAUGCGGAACGAUGGCAGGGCAGCUGCAGUGGCCUCCACACAGCCAGAGCAAUACUAAUGCAGUCGGUUUUGUCAUCUCUCCAAGGGACCAUAUGGCUUUCUUCAUGUGCCACUGCACCUUUAUCUCAGCAGAAUCCUAAAGCCCACAAAUGCCCCAUCACUGUGCACUUUGCAGCAGGGACACCCCACAGGCUCCUAGGCACUGCUGCCUGGAGUACUGGAUGGAGCCUCAUCAGGUUGGCAAGCUUUGCUAAUGAACACAACUUGCAGUAGGGCCAUGAGCAAAACUAGGUACUGCCAUAGCCACCCUCUUCAGAAACUGAGAAUCCCUCAGAGCCUGGGAAACCAAAAGAGACCUGCUUGUCUAUGCCUGAUCUCACAAUGGCUCUUAAGGGUCUUGGGUUUCAUUAUAGUGCUGUCGGUUCCUGGUGGAUGCACGUGGCUGUUCACUGGGGUGUUGUGCAGAGCAUCUGCCUCUGCGAGCUUUCCUUGGAUGGUCAGUCCCUGAAGGCUUCAGUGGUGUCCCAAAUCACCCCUCCUGCCCUAGGGUUUGCACACUGUCUCUGAUGCCAGACCUUGGUUGGUGUCCCCAGCACGCGCACAUUUCCAGACCCAGCCUUGCCCAACACAGUGUGGUGGUUUCCAAAGGGCUUCGACAGAGUAGCAGUGUGCCUGCUUCCCCUGUCCAAGUGCUGCAGCAGCAAACAGUGACCCUACUACUUAAUAUUUCAAAUAUACAUGAACAAUCCACCAACUCUCCAUGUCUAGUUGUUUUCUCAGAUGCUCACUUCUUGCCAUGGGUCAUGGCUUUCCCCUGGGGUAUCUCACGCUCAUUUCAGACCUGAGAAAAUGCUUGCAUGGUGAAAGCUGGUAUGUGUUUCUACAACUGUUUUAGUAGGUUUAAUAAAAGAUAUUGCCCUCUGUCUGCCCGCCUUGUUCUUUUGUAUUAUUGGACCAUUGCACCCCAGCUCUUUGUACUGCUACCAAGAGCUUGGGCACAUCAGCCUGCUGCAGUUGUGGUCUGUCUGAAGCUCUCUGGAGGCAAAUGGCUGAUGUAGAGGUCCAGGGCACCUCUACCUUUUCGCCUUUCUGGACUUUGCCAAAGGUGGAUUGUUCCUGAGGCCAUACCGUGUUAUUUUCCCAGGGCUCCUGGCCCCCAGCUUGGACUAAGAGGUUUGUUUCUACUACCUGUCUCUCCUCACUCACGUGGCUUGAGGACCAGUUCUUGGGCCUUGGUCUGCAGGCACUCCUGCUUCUCUUGGAUGGAAAUCAGUAAGUGACGGCUUGCAUAUUGCUCUGUAAUUCAGAGCACUUAGAUGAAGCCACGUGCAUCUACAGGUUCUUGCAGUGGAUACUUCCAUUUCAAAACCAUUGUCCUUUAUUCCACCAUGCUGGGGAAAGUGCAGGUGAGCCACCGUGUUGAGGCAGAGUGUUUGGAUGUCAUGGCUAAGCCUUUUUUCCACUGCAGACCAUCCAGCUCCAAGAAACCACGCCACGUCAGAUAUUGCCAAGCCAAACACACCAGGUUGAUCAAAAGUGAGUUCAGUAUUUAUGGUCAUAUGUAUGUUGUAGUGAAGCUAUUUGUAAGACCAAGAUUGAUUACCUAGGUCACAGUCUGCUGGGAUUUACAGUCAUCCCAACCAGAUAUAUUUUAACUUUCCUCCGAGGUUCAAUUUUUGUUAUGCCACAAGCAUAGGCUCUUCCUCUGACUUGAACGCAUUUUUGAUCAGCAGUAUCAAAGUCCUGUCUGGCUGCUCAUUUGAGGUUGAUAUAAAACAUCUCAUUGUUUCUCCUGGGCUUUUUUUCAUCCCUGACCAACCUUCAUUGUGCCAGCUGAAGAAUAGCACGUUCCUCCACAUCAGCACCAGGGUGGGAGGGCUGCGGGUGAGCAGGGCUGCGGCUUGGGUAACUGAGCUUGUGUGCUUGUUUUAGAGAAGCUGUCAUAGUGUGUGUGGGGGGGAUGGCAUGGGGAAGGCCAGGCAAUGAGUCUGGGGGAGAGAGGCAAAAGAGCCAGGCUGAGGAAACAUUUGGAAAUGCAGAUCCAGAGAAAACAUCAGCUCAGGGCUUGAUGGCUGGGCUGCCACUGCCUUCUGCAUUUCAGAGCACAAGACCAGCAAGACCGACCCCACCAUCCAAUGCUUCCUCACCAGGCUACGUGCCUGGGCACCUCAAACCGGGGAGGGAUUGAUGAGUGCAGUGGUUGCCCACAGAUGCAGCAGCACAGAGGCUUCCCCCUCUUCCCUCUGCCCUGAACCCUGGAUCACCACCAGUAGCACCCUUAGCCACAAAAUGAACAAAGAAAUAUUGCUGCUCUCCAAGUUUUAAAGCAGAGAGAGAAAAAAAAGAAAAGCACCACGUUGCAUGCAUGCAGGCACAUACCCUAUCAGAGAGCACAGGGUGCAAGUAAAAAUAGUGAGGUGCAGGCGUGGGGAGCUGGAGGUGGAGGUGUUACAAGAUCUGUGCUGUGCUGCAAAAUGUUCCCACCACUGACAGCGUUAUUGAGUGAUAACAUCUUGGCAGGCUACUUUUAGAUGUAGUUUCAUCCAAUUUCUCUUAUGCUUCCCUGUUUUAAUUCCAGGAUGGCUCUGGACAGAGAGGAUGAAGAUAGCUGGAGGUGUGUAAGAUACUCUUUAUCUAAAUAAAGCAGAUGUGGGAUCUUGAAGUGUGCUAAGCGUUGAAAUGAUCAAUGCAUUGCUCUCAGCUCCUGAGCACUAGUUGAGACUUACAGGGGAGAGAGUGUGGAGACACUGGUGGGACGGUCCAAGGUCUGAUCAUGAGGUGGAGCUUGUUCUCCUGCUCUCCACAAUCCCCUUGUUUCACAGCAGGCAUCUUUCUUCACCAGCCCAAGUCCAUUCCUGGCUCCCCCCAGCUGCACAGCCAGGAAUGUGCUGUGAGGUGGGGAAAGCCUUGGUGUGCUGCAGCCCCUUACCCACCUGGCGGGCGUGCACCACCCGCAGUGUGAUGGCCGUGGGGCAAAUAGCUGCUCACGGCCACCACUGCAAGCUGUGCUGCACCAGGAGGUCUCAUUCUGAUGGGGAAACCAUGCACCAAACUGCUGGCCUGCCCGCUCCUCACGGGGCACGGCAGGUAGCUGGAUCUUGGGGUGCUUCCAGGAGCGCAUCUCUGCUGGGAAACAUUUCUCUCCACAGCAAUUGGCACCUGGUGGCUGCUGGGAGCUCUCGGGCUGGGUCAGUGGUGUGCCAGCUUUCCUGCUGGCCUAGGGUUGCCACCCUUCUGGGGCAGGGGUCCUUUCUUCAUGUAUUUAUCCGUGUUUUUAAAGUGAGGGGAUUUUCUUCAAAAAGCACACCAGCUCUGAUGUGACCCUUGCAUGUUCCCGUGCAGCGCGGACCUUCUUAUUUCCUGAAUGGCUUGCUCUGCACUCGAGUUAACUCACACGCUGGAUUUUGUCCAAGUACAUUUUGUUUCUUGAUAUGAGGCCAGGCUUUGCUGAGUUGUGGUGCCGUUUUCUUCUCCCUGCUCUCCUCCCUGCUUCUUUAUUAUCAUCCUCAUUACCGAGUGUUACUGGCACCGUGCAGCCAAGGGGGGGAGAGCAAGCCCCAGAUCUAUGCCUGGCUCUGACAACAGCUGAAGGGAGCGCGCUGAAGCAACAACAAAUGCCUUCUUUAAUGUACAUUGCCUGCACAUUGAGCUGUCCCAAGCCUGGCCCGGCACUGAAAGGUAUGUCUGAGACCAGCUGAAGCAGAAAACAUUUGAACUCUACACCCUGCCAAAUAGCUUCCAGAUGUGUAAGAUAUAGCCUCACAGUGGACUUUGACUGUAGCUCUGCCAACAUACGUCUGCACAUUUUUGGUGCACAGGGAACAUGAAAGUAGAUCUUUUACAACAUCUGCUGCUUUUCCCCAGUUAUUCCUCCCUGCUUCUUGUGGCCCUUUUCCUAUAUUUCAUCCUUCUAUAACACACACAUGUAUAUAUUAGGAAAAGCUACAAGUCCUUCCACUGAUUUAUUAAAUCUUCCCUGCAUGUUUCAUACCUUUUCUGGCUGACAGUGUGGUCGAAAGAGAGGGAAAGACAGAGAGACCUUCUGCUGUCAGACAACAAGGCAGUGCCCAGGGCCUUUAACUAAUUCUGAAUUGAUUCAGGACUCAUCUGGUGGUCUUCUUGAAGACCAACAAAUCAUAAAUUGAUAUCAAUUCCACGGAAAAGGGGCUUUAAUAAAACAAAACAAAACAAAAAAACAGGUAUUUAUCUUAGUGUUGCAGAAAGAAUUAUUGUCUUAAUUCUCCAGAAACCUGGGCCUGUAGGGUACCAGAAGUGAGCUGGCUUGAAGAGGGGAGGAAGAGGGCAGAAAUGCUGGAAAUUAGAUCCUAUGAGAAUGUGAUAGCAGCUCUUAUUUGCAAAAUAAAAAAUAAAAAUACUGAUUUUUAAGGUUUUACAUUUAAAGUAAAACUUUGGCUAAGGAAAAAGACAAUAGAGGCCUGCUGUACCCAGACAGAACGAGGUGGUUAGUUGAUCUCUUUGGGUUCAAUGUGACAAUCUUAUCUCUGACUCCACAAGUGGUGGUUGUUUGCCGACCUUUGUUCCUACACCAAACCCAGCAUAUUCUUCAAUAAAUACUUAUCUUUGGAGCCCAUGGUUGUGUCAGUCUUGUCUGUUCUGGGAAGCUAACCAGACCCAGGCCUGGGACGUAUUUUGAUGAGAGACCACCUGGGAAUCACAGAAGCCAUCUACAUACACCAGGGAGUUGUGGUCAAACUCUUGGCAAACCAUAGACCACAGGAAUCUAAUGAGUGGAAAGACUUCAUUUGGCCCCAUCAUCACUGCCGAGUUGAUUGAUGAGGCAGAGAUGCAGCCCUACUUACGUACCUAUUUCUGUCUUCCCUUUGUGAUGAGCUGGGACAGGGCAUGUGGUGCACAAAGAGCCUAUCAGUCGACUUGUGGGCCUUUUAUGGAUGAAAAUGUCAAAUGGGGGAUGUCUGCAGGGCAGCGCAUGUGGCAGAGCUGGGGGAGGGCGAUGGGAAGACAUGGUCAGAUGAAAGAAAAGAUGUCGUCUCCUAAUCUAAUCUGCCUAUAAGGUCGAAUGCCUGCUUUUGUCUUUCUCAGUUUGGAGCAGGCAAAGCAGUAAUAUUUACCCAUUGCUACAGAUUCUGCAAUGAAUCUGGUUGAUUGACACCUGGCCCUGGAGUAAAUCAUAAUUUUGUCAGGACAGCAGCUCUGAGAGCUGUUGUUUUCACCAGCAGCCCCGCUUAUCCAGGUAUGAAAUCGUGUGACUGAUUCCUGGUGUAUCAGGGGUCUAGCCAACAUGCUGUGCACUAAGCAUGCGUGGAGAGACCUGCAAAAUCACAGCUGUCCUGGUCUGGCAGCCUGCCUUGUAGGGGUGGUUUCUCUCUCGAAGGCUUGGGAUGCCUGUGGGGGUCCUUUCUGCCUGACAGCAUUUGCUGUAGUGGGAGCCUCACCUCCUGUUGCUGAGAAUGGACGGACUAGAUCUUGUUAUAAACUUCACAUAUUCCAGGCUAAAUCAACAGCUGCUUAGAUUUUAUUCCUAUUAUUAUCACUAA